This 492-nucleotide ribosomal RNA is filed under the name uncultured bacterium. Its description in RNAcentral is "bacterial SSU rRNA". It matches the Rfam family "Bacterial small subunit ribosomal RNA", at positions 28 to 507 of the family's 1533-position model. The record is from RNAcentral.
GAUGAACGCUAGCGGCAGGCCUAACACAUGCAAGGUCAGGGGGCAGCGCAAAGAUAGGUUUACUAUUUUGGCGGCGACCGGCGCACGGGUGAGUAACGCGUAUGCAACCUACCUUAUACAGGAGUAUAGCCCGAAGAAAUUCGGAUUAAUCCUCCAUAGUAUUCUUUAAUGGCAUCAUUUGAAGAAUUAAAGCUUCGGCGGUAUAAGAUGGGCAUGCGUCCUAUUAGCUAGAUGGUAAGGUAAUGGCUUACCAUGGCUACGAUAGGUAGGGGGCCUGAGAGGGUGAUCCCCCACACUGGUACUGAGACACGGACCAGACUCCUACGGGAGGCAGCAGUGAGGAAUAUUGGGCAAUGGAGGCAACUCUGACCCAGCCAUGCCGCGUGCAGGAAGAAUGCCCUAUGGGUUGUAAACUGCUUUUAUUUAGGAAUAAACCCCUUUACGUGUAGAGGGCUGAAUGUACUAAACGAAUAAGCACCGGCUAACUCCGUG